Molecule: transfer RNA, 64 nt
Filed under: Dipodomys ordii (Ord's kangaroo rat)
Lineage: Eukaryota; Metazoa; Chordata; Mammalia; Rodentia; Heteromyidae
Rfam family: tRNA
About the family: Transfer RNA (tRNA) molecules are approximately 80 nucleotides in length. Their secondary structure includes four short double-helical elements and three loops (D, anti-codon, and T loops). Further hydrogen bonds mediate the characteristic L-shaped molecular structure. tRNAs have two regions of fundamental functional importance: the anti-codon, which is responsible for specific mRNA codon recognition, and the 3' end, to which the tRNAs corresponding amino acid is attached (by aminoacyl-tRNA synthetases). tRNAs cope with the degeneracy of the genetic code in two manners: having more than one tRNA (with a specific anti-codon) for a particular amino acid; and 'wobble' base-pairing, i.e. permitting non-standard base-pairing at the 3rd anti-codon position.
Source: Rfam by way of RNAcentral
GGUGGCUCAGUGGUAGAGCGUUUGCCUUGCAUGCGUGAGGCCCUGAGUUCGAUUCCUAGUACCA